CUGCUGCCUUCCGUAGGAGUCUGGGCCGUGUCUCAGUCCCAAUGUGGCCGGCCACCCUCUCAGGUCGGCUACUGAUCGUCGCCUUGGUGGGCCUCUAUCCCGCCAACUAGCUAAUCAGACGCGGAUCCAUCCCAUACCACCGGAGUUUUUCACACUGGAAUAUGCAUUCCUGUGCGCUUAUGCGGUAUUAGCAGCCGUUUCCGGCUGUUAUCCCCCGGUAUGGGGCAGGUUAUCCACGCGUUACUCACCCGUCCG
RNAcentral lists this ribosomal RNA (255 nucleotides) under uncultured bacterium. RNAcentral describes it as "partial 16S ribosomal RNA". The record is from RNAcentral.